Molecule: ribosomal RNA, 431 nt
Filed under: uncultured Phyllobacteriaceae bacterium
Lineage: Bacteria; Pseudomonadati; Pseudomonadota; Alphaproteobacteria; Hyphomicrobiales; Phyllobacteriaceae
Description: bacterial SSU rRNA
Rfam family: Bacterial small subunit ribosomal RNA
Source: RNAcentral
AACGAACGCUGGCGGCAGGCCUAACACAUGCAAGUCGAACGCUUACUUCGGUAAGAGUGGCAGACGGGUGAGUAACACGUGGGAAUCUACCUAUCUCUACGGAACAACACAUAGAAAUGUGUGCUAAUACCGUAUACGCCCUUCGGGGGAAAGAUUUAUCGGUGAUAGAUGAGCCCGCGUUUGAUUAGCUAGUUGGUGAGGUAAUGGCUCACCAAGGCGACGAUCAAUAGCUGGUCUGAGAGGAUGAUCAGCCACACUGGGACUGAGACACGGCCCAGACUCCUACGGGAGGCAGCAGUGGGGAAUAUUGGACAAUGGGCGCAAGCCUGAUCCAGCCAUGCCGCGUGUGUGAUGAAGGCCCUAGGGUUGUAAAGCACUUUCAACGGUGAAGAUAAUGACGGUAACCGUAGAAGAAGCCCCGGCUAACUUCG